CUCGUGAGUCAUCCCUGCUGGGUGAGAAGGUGGGCACAACGUUAGGCCCUGACUACAGGUUGCUAGGAUUAAGUACUGAACGCCAGAUGAUUGUCAUAAAUAAACUAGAGUGAGGUCCUGAGACCAGCAAAGCUGCUCAGUGUCUGCUAAGCCUGACUCACUGGCUGGACUGGCUCGU
This 178-nucleotide long non-coding RNA is filed under the name Dasypus novemcinctus (nine-banded armadillo). Its description in RNAcentral is "lncRNA (ENSDNOG00000050378.1)". The record is from RNAcentral. Lineage: Eukaryota; Metazoa; Chordata; Mammalia; Cingulata; Dasypodidae.